CUCCCAGGACUAAGCGAAAUGACAAAUUUUUGUCACAUUUUCCCAUAGUCAGCAAAAACUAAAGGGUUGUGAAAAUGGGUGUCACUUUGGUGGGUGUGGUUGUCACUCCAUGGACUAAGACGAAAUGACAAAUUUCAGUCACAUUUUCCCAUAGUCAGCAAAAACUAAAGGGUUGUGAAAAUGGGUGUCACUUUGGUGGGUGUGGUUGUC
This is a long non-coding RNA of Amphimedon queenslandica, 210 nucleotides long. RefSeq lists it as uncharacterized. The transcript has 3 exons. The record is from RefSeq and is a predicted model, not a curated record. NCBI's taxonomy places the organism in Eukaryota, Metazoa, Porifera, Demospongiae, Haplosclerida, Niphatidae.